AGAGUUUGAUCCUGGCUCAGGAUGAACGCUAGCGGCAGGCUUAACACAUGCAAGUCGAGGGGCAUCGGGAGGGAAGCUUGCUUUCCUUGCCGGCGACCGGCGCACGGGUGAGUAACACGUAUGCAACCUGCCCUCUUCAGGGGGACAACCUUCCGAAAGGGAGGCUAAUCCCGCGUAUAUCGGUUUCGGGCAUCCGAGAUCGAGGAAAGAUUCAUCGGAAGAGGAUGGGCAUGCGGCGCAUUAGCUAGACGGCGGGGUAACGGCCCACCGUGGCGACGAUGCGUAGGGGUUCUGAGAGGAAGGUCCCCCACACUGGUACUGAGACACGGACCAGACUCCUACGGGAGGCAGCAGUGAGGAAUAUUGGUCAAUGGGAGAGAUCCUGAACCAGCCAAGCCGCGUGAGGGAAGACGGCCCUAUGGGUUGUAAACCUCUUUUGUCGGAGAACAAAACCCGGGACGAGUCCCGGACUGCGUGUAUCCGAAGAAAAAGCAUCGGCUAACUCCGUGCCAGCAGCCGCGGUAAUACGGAGGAUGCGAGCGUUAUCCGGAUUUAUUGGGUUUAAAGGGUGCGUAGGCGGUCCGUUAAGUCAGCGGUAAAAUUGCGGGGCUCAACCCCGUCGAGCCGUUGAAACUGGCAGACUUGAGUUGGCGAGAAGUACGCGGAAUGCGCGGUGUAGCGGUGAAAUGCAUAGAUAUCGCGCAGAACUCCGAUUGCGAAGGCAGCGUACCGGCGCCAGACUGACGCUGAGGCACGAAAGCGUGGGGAUCGAACAGGAUUAGAUACCCUGGUAGUCCACGCAGUAAACGAUGAAUGCUGGUUGUCCGGGUCGAAUGAAAUCUGGGCGGCAAAACGAAA
Molecule: ribosomal RNA, 858 nt
Filed under: uncultured bacterium
Lineage: Bacteria
Description: bacterial SSU rRNA
Rfam family: Bacterial small subunit ribosomal RNA
Source: RNAcentral